RNAcentral lists this long non-coding RNA (1093 nucleotides) under Vulpes vulpes (red fox). RNAcentral describes it as "lncRNA (ENSVVUG00000028171.1)". Lineage: Eukaryota; Metazoa; Chordata; Mammalia; Carnivora; Canidae. The record is from RNAcentral.
UCUGCAGUCGCUGCAGAGGGAGGGUGUGUGGAAGUCCCAGCACCUGAUGACUCUGGCACUUUGAAUAGAGCCCUGAAUGGCCGUGUCCACACACGCACCCCUAGGGGCCUCUCUUCCCGCCGAGUCCCAGGUCCGGGAGGCCAGCUGAGCUCCCAUGGGCAGCCUGCCGCGCCCUUUGCCACCUCCACCUGCCCUUGUCCCCGCUCAGCCUCUGCGCCCCCUUCCCUCUCUGUGCGCUCUGCUCCUGCGUCCUCCAGCCCUGGGCCGGGGGCCGGGGGCCAGCUCCUGUCUCGGGGUCCCCGGCCUCUGGGGGGCCUCUGUGCCCCGCCCCGGCCUUCUCUGCUCUCGGGAUGCUCCUGCUCCCGCCCGGCCUGCCUCCGCCUCUCCCUGCCUCUCGGAGACCGUCUCUGCCCCUCCAGGGUGCUCCGCCGGGCUCUGCCCCCGGGUCCCUCCCCGGCCCUGUCCGUGUGUCCGUCCGGGCCGCGCGGGGGGCGCCGGCGGGGCGGCGGCGGGCGGCCCUUUGUGUGGGAGAUUGACGGGCGGCCUCGCGGCCUCCGCAGCGCUGAUUAGGAUGCAGCGCGGGCUCCGACUGCAGCAGCGUCCCCGUCCCCGCCGAGCGCUCCCGCCGCGCGGUACCGACCCCCCCGCGACGCUGGCCCCAGGCGAGGCGACCCUCCGCGUCCCCAGGUGGUGCACCCGGCGCCCCUGGAGGAUGGGGGAGUGCGGCCCGGGUCCCCGCGGCCCGGGCCUUCGGGGAGCAGGGGGGAGGCGGAGGGGCGGCCGCAGGGGCAGGUGCAGGAGGGACGUGAGCGGGCCCAGAGGCGCCCAGCAGCGCAGCGGCCCUCGCACGAGCACGCGUGAAGCAACAAGUCCACGGGGGACACGCGUGCGCCUCUUGCCCGCGCACAGCCUGCAACCCUUCCUGGCGCAGAGGAAGCUCUCCAGCGUCCUGGGCUCCUCUUCCACCCGUUCUCCCCAAAUGAGCGCCCACAUCAGUGCAGCCCAACUCCUUUAGGGACCCCUCCCACUCGCCCCCCAACUGGGCGUCUGCCCCCCGGGCAGCCUCCCCCGCCAAGCCUUCCAAGCNNNNNNN